AGAGUUUGAUCCUGGCUCAGGACGAACGCUGGCGGCAGGCUUAACACAUGCAAGUCGAACGCUCUCUUCGGAGAGAGUGGCAGACGGGUGAGUAACGCGUGGGAAUCUACCCAGUACUACGGAACAACAGUUAGAAAUGACUGCUAAUACCGUAUACGCCCUCCGGGGGAAAGAUUUAUCGGUAUUGGAUGAGCCCGCGUUUGAUUAGCUAGUUGGUGAGGUAAUGGCUCACCAAGGCGACGAUCAAUAGCUGGUCUGAGAGGAUGAUCAGCCACACUGGGACUGAGACACGGCCCAGACUCCUACGGGAGGCAGCAGUGGGGAAUAUUGGACAAUGGGCGCAAGCCUGAUCCAGCCAUGCCGCGUGUGUGAUGAAGGCCCUAGGGUUGUAAAGCACUUUCAACGGUGAAGAUAAUGACGGUAACCGUAGAAGAAGCUCCGGCUAACUUCGUGCCAGCAGCCGCGGUAAU
This 470-nucleotide ribosomal RNA is filed under the name uncultured bacterium. RNAcentral describes it as "bacterial SSU rRNA". It matches the Rfam family "Bacterial small subunit ribosomal RNA", at positions 8 to 524 of the family's 1533-position model. The record is from RNAcentral.